GCCUUGAAUCUUUUUUACCUCAUUUAACUAUUUACAUAUAUGCCAGACGGUUCAUACUAAUCUGAAUAUAAUUAUCUGUAUACACAUAACAUAGUAACAUACAAAUAUAUAACAAAUAGGUUCAGAGUUAAAGUAGUUGUUUUAGGAAACAUCAAAUAGAAAUGCGAUCUUGUGUUCAUUGGCAACUAACAACUUGUUAUUUGUUGGUUCGAAAUGCAAUGCACAUGGAUUACUAAGGCCAUCACGAGAGGACAAUAUUGUUCUGCAACAGUUUCCAUCAGGGGUUGAAAUGAUGACAACGCUGUUUUUAUCCCUACUGGCCACAUACACGAUUCCAUUGUUGUCUACAGAUAUAGCCUGUGGACUUUGCAGAAUUUGUGUAUCCUUAAAUUCCCAUUUUAGAUUUCCA
Molecule: long non-coding RNA, 409 nt
Filed under: Mytilus galloprovincialis (Mediterranean mussel)
Lineage: Eukaryota; Metazoa; Mollusca; Bivalvia; Mytilida; Mytilidae
Source: RNAcentral